GCCUGGCUGGCUCAGUCAGUGAAGCAUGUGACUCUUAAUCUCAGAGUUGUAGGUUCAAGCCCCACACUAGGUG
RNAcentral lists this transfer RNA (73 nucleotides) under Felis catus (domestic cat). It matches the Rfam family "tRNA". From Rfam's summary of the family: Transfer RNA (tRNA) molecules are approximately 80 nucleotides in length. Lineage: Eukaryota; Metazoa; Chordata; Mammalia; Carnivora; Felidae. The record is from Rfam by way of RNAcentral.